RNAcentral lists this long non-coding RNA (669 nucleotides) under Sorghum bicolor (sorghum). RNAcentral's name for it is "long non-coding RNA (SBIC_LNC013212)". The record is from RNAcentral. Lineage: Eukaryota; Viridiplantae; Streptophyta; Magnoliopsida; Poales; Poaceae.
CAGCCACUAGCCGUAGUCCCGUACGAUGACCAGUUCCAGCAGAGGCCGCCGGUCCCAUUCGAGGGUGCCGGCCAUGUCCUGCUCCCGCAGCAGCAGCAGCAGCCGGUGAACCCGGGCGCAAGCAACGUCCGGCCUCAGCAGGUAGCCUUUUUGAAUUUUUUUUGGUUUUGGGGACCGUACUUUUUUUGUUUUUAUUUGACAAACUGUGAAAUUAGUUUUUAUUUUAAUCUAUAUUUAGUGCCUCGUACAUGUGCGUCAAGAUUCGAUAUGACGGGAAAUCUUGAAAUUUUUUUUAUUUUUGGAGGGAACUAAACAGGGCCUAUAUUGCUCCUAAUCACAAAACAAUUAAAAUAUCAAACUUGUGCAAUGCUUCGGCACGUCUUUUACUUGUUAGACUGUCUCCAACGGCCAAGCCAUUACAUACCCAAAUCCAAAAAUAGGUUAUCCUCGUUGCUUGAGGUGAAAAACUCAUGGUCCAACAGGGUAGUCAAACCAAAUUCAUGGUCCAACAGGGUAGUCAAACCAAAGAUGCAAUUUGCGUUGGAGUCCACUGGGAACCCAAAAAUGUGUCCUCACACUCCAUCUCUCUCCUUGACCCAAAUCAAUCCUGGAAAAGCUUUGUCGUCGGCACCGCGUCGUCCAGUCUUCGCAAGUAUAGAAUUGUAAUAC